AGCAGCCGCGGUAAUUCCAGCUCCAAUAGCGUAUAUUAAAGUUGUUGCAGUUAAAAAGCUCGUAGUUGAAUUUUGGAUUCUUCCAAUUGGUCCAUCUUUUAGAUGAGUACUGGUUGUGUGGGGUCUAUCCGCCUGGUGAUACGUAAUGUCCUUUAUUGGAUGUUGCGGGUAGUCAGGACCUUUACCUUGAAAAAAUUAGAGUGUUUAAAGCAGGCUUAUGCCGGAAUACAUUAGCAUGGAAUAAUAGAAUAGGACGAAGUUGUUUUAUUUUGUUGGUUUCUAGGACAACCGUAAUGAUUAAUAGGGAUAGUUGGGGGCAUUAGUAUUCAAUUGUCAGAGGUGAAAUUCUUGGAUUUAUUGAAGACUAACUACUGCGAAAGCAUUUGCCAAGGAUGUUUUCAUUAAUCAAGAACGAAAGUUAGGGGAUCGAAGACGAUCAGAUACCGUCGUAGUCUUAACCAUAAACUAUGCCGACUAGGAAUCAGACGAUGUUAAUUUUUUCAAUGACUCGUUUGGCACC
This 520-nucleotide unclassified non-coding RNA is filed under the name uncultured Glomus. Its description in RNAcentral is "SSU rRNA". It matches the Rfam family "Eukaryotic small subunit ribosomal RNA", at positions 569 to 1087 of the family's 1831-position model. The record is from RNAcentral. Lineage: Eukaryota; Fungi; Glomeromycota; Glomeromycetes; Glomerales; Glomeraceae.